This 301-nucleotide ribosomal RNA is filed under the name uncultured bacterium. RNAcentral describes it as "partial 16S ribosomal RNA". It matches the Rfam family "Bacterial small subunit ribosomal RNA", at positions 509 to 808 of the family's 1533-position model. The record is from RNAcentral.
CAGCCGCCGCCGGUAAUACGUAGGGUGCAAGCGUUAAUCGGAAUUACUGGGCGUAAAGCGUGCGCAGGCGGUUAUAUAAGACAGAUGUGAAAUCCCCGGGCUCAACCUGGGAACUGCAUUUGUGACUGUAUAGCUAGAGUACGGCAGAGGGGGAUGGAAUUCCGCGUGUAGCAGUGAAAUGCGUAGAUAUGCGGAGGAACACCGAUGGCGAAGGCAAUCCCCUGGGCCUGUACUGACGCUCAUGCACGAAAGCGUGGGGAGCAAACAGGAUUAGAUACCCCAGUAGUCCCUGUCUCUUAUA